AGCGAACGCUGGCGGCAGGCCUAACACAUGCAAGUCGAACGAACUCUCCGUAGUUAGUGGCGGACGGGUGAGUAACACGGGGGAACGUGCCUUUUGGUUCGGAAUAAUUCAGGUAAACUUGUGCUAAUACCGAAUGUGCCCUUCGGGGGAAAGAUUUAUCGCGCUUAGAGCGGCCCGCGUCUGAUUAGCUGGUUGGUGAGGUAACGGCUCAUCAAGGCGUGGAUCAGUAGCUGGUCUGAGAGGAUGACCAGCGACACUGGGAGUGGGACACGGCCCAGAAUCCUACGGGAGGCAGGAGUGGGGAAUCUAGCGCAAUGGGCGAAAGCCUGACGCAGCCAUGCCGGGUGAAUGAUGAAGGUGGUAGGAUUGUACAGUUCUUUCACAGGGGACGAUACUGACGGUACCCGGAGAAGAAGCACCGGCUAACUUCGUG
RNAcentral lists this ribosomal RNA (433 nucleotides) under uncultured bacterium. RNAcentral describes it as "partial 16S ribosomal RNA". It matches the Rfam family "Bacterial small subunit ribosomal RNA", at positions 29 to 507 of the family's 1533-position model. The record is from RNAcentral.